CUGAGAAAAUUGAGGAACUUAAGGUAAUAAAUAUUUAUGAUACCGUUUUUAUCACUAUUGAGGGAUGCGGUGAUUUUGUAACUUAGACAUUGGAUCUUUGUUGGUGCACAUGGAUGCAAGGAAUUCUCUGGGUUCAAAAUCUCACUCUUUCUUUUCAUUUGUCUUUGCACACCUUCUUGUGUUUAUUUAUGUUCCUUGGCUAAUCCUUUCAUUGGCUUUGUAUUUACUCUAUGCUCCUACUCAUCCUGGGACCUUUAUGAAAUUUGAAUUUGAUCUGAAGAAUUCUCUCCCUCUUUCUUUUCAUAUCUUUUUGCGCACCUGCUCAUGUGUGUAUUUAUGUUCAUUGGCCUUGUAUUUAUCCUAUGCUCCUACAAAUCCUGGGACCUUUAUGAAUUUGAUCUGAAGAGCUUUUGG
Molecule: unclassified non-coding RNA, 414 nt
Filed under: Hevea brasiliensis (rubber tree)
Lineage: Eukaryota; Viridiplantae; Streptophyta; Magnoliopsida; Malpighiales; Euphorbiaceae
Source: RNAcentral